UACGUAGGGUGCAAGCGUUGUCCGGAAUUAUUGGGCGUAAAGAGCUCGUAGGCGGUCUGUCGCGUCUGCUGUGAAAACUCGGGGCUUAACCCCGGGCCUGCAGUGGGUACGGGCAGACUAGAGUUCGGUAGGGGAGACUGGAAUUCCUGGUGUAGCGGUGAAAUGCGCAGAUAUCGGGAGGAACACCCGUAGCGAAGGCGGCACUCUGGGCCGGUACUGACGCUGAGGAGCGAAAGCGUGGGGAGCAAACAGG
RNAcentral lists this ribosomal RNA (253 nucleotides) under uncultured bacterium. RNAcentral's name for it is "partial 16S ribosomal RNA". It matches the Rfam family "Bacterial small subunit ribosomal RNA", at positions 524 to 776 of the family's 1533-position model. The record is from RNAcentral.